RNAcentral lists this long non-coding RNA (792 nucleotides) under Musa acuminata (dwarf banana). Its description in RNAcentral is "long non-coding RNA (MACU_LNC004326)". Lineage: Eukaryota; Viridiplantae; Streptophyta; Magnoliopsida; Zingiberales; Musaceae. The record is from RNAcentral.
ACAUGUUGACAAAUUAUGAGAUGGCAAGAUCCAGAAAUAAAUAUCACAGCAUGCUGCUUUACAUAAAGCACAAAGGCAUUGAAGUCAUGGAAAUUGUGAACUUAUGCAAGAAGCAAACAUAACGAAUGCUGCUUUACAUAAAGCACAAAGGCAUUGAAGUCAUGACUUAUGCAAGAAGAGAACAUAACGAAGACUUGAUCCAAUUUUUGGCAUUUGCAGGUAAAUUUCAGAACUACCUAGGACAUCUUUUUAUCAGAGUCUACAGAAUCCAGCAUUCGUUUUUCAUGUUUAAAGAUUGCAUGUUUUCAUAACAUUCUUUUUAUCACAAUCAAGUCAUUCAGAAGUUUGCAUUACAUUGUUCAGUAUUAACAAGUUUUCAACUCAACUAUAUCUAUCGUCAAAGAUUAGAUUCAAAAGUACCUCUCAUUUUAUACAAUAUGUACUAUGCACAUGCUUAUUCACAAAUUCCAGAUGAAAUUGUUCACAUAUAGCAGUUUUUCUACGAUUAGCAUUAUUAUACUCAUUAACCCGUUAACUCCAUCGUCGAUCACAUCAUGUCAAUGGAAUUAUCUCAAAGUGUUAAGUCAGUCUAAUUUAUUCAUUGAAAGAGAAAGUAAAUCUAACCAUCGGCUGCAUCCUACCCAUUGAACUGCAGAGGGCAAGGAUCAGUGAUAUUUGACUGCAAGCUUUUACUCUGCUGCAGUGAGAUGGUGAGGGUAUUAGUUGAAGCUCCACCAAGAACAGCUGAAGCUGAUUGGGAAGAUGCAGUGGUGGGCAUCGCCUUUGCGGCAU